Molecule: long non-coding RNA, 2190 nt
Filed under: Triticum aestivum (bread wheat)
Lineage: Eukaryota; Viridiplantae; Streptophyta; Magnoliopsida; Poales; Poaceae
Description: long non-coding RNA (TAES_LNC019680)
Source: RNAcentral
AGAUUACCUGAAUGAUUCGUGGAAAUUAGAAUGUGGGGAUCUCAAAGAAUGUUUCACAAGAAAAACAAAUAUUGGCCAUUUCCAAACUUGCUCGGUGGUCGAGGUACUAUAGAGGACAUCAGUAGAAUGAAAGCAAGAGCAACCUGACAACAUUAUUGAUAGUCAACUUCCAUUAUCAGCAGCUUCACACGUGUAUGUAUUCUUUUGUUCAUUUUCAUCUUUGUGGUAUUUUCUUACUUCCCCUUGUUCGGAUUCUUGACAGAUCAAGAAUUGUUGAUGCAGGUAUAUCUUUCUUUUGGAAAUGGAAGUUGCUGUUUCUUCCCAGGUGAGCUGAGGUGAUAACUGAACUCUCUUCUUGUACUAGCAAUCCAUCUAUUUUGAUUUCAUGAUCAUGGUUCUCCCGUCAUGCUCUUAUGAUUUUAUACAUGCCAACAAGCAUCCACGCAAUUUGUUCUUUACUUCUGCACAUAUUACCAUGUUUUCCCACAAAAAUACACACGCCGCGGCAAGCCGCAGCAAUCAUGUUCUCAAGUUUUAAAGUGUAUAAGAUAAGAGCAUGUAUCUUAGUUAUUUUGGCACUGCCAUCCUUUACAUUAUAGGGUGUCUACAUAUGCAAAUUUGCAAGUUAAAUUUACCACACCUUUGAAACCUGCAGUUGUUUACUAUUCUCUUAAAUCUUUAAACUAUGUGCUGCAUUCCUUUAAUUUCAGAACUAGGAAGGUGCGGAUAAUAAGAGUUGUUGACAGAGGCAACCUGCACAUGUGUAAACAGUGGCUAUGGUGGCUCAAAGGGAAGCAGCGGCUGCUCCAUGGAAACACGCAACUUAGUGAUGUACUUUUUGUUUCUAGAUUUUGUUCACUCUCAUUAAAUUUUAAGCAAGAAAAUCCACUACCCUGCAAAAAGUUCUUCCAACAAAUAUUUUUGUGUGUGCAAUUAAGAUCAAUCUUCCUAUUCAUUCAUUGCACGCUGUUAUUCUGCAGGACCGGCGAAGUGCAAGGUCAUGUACAAGGUGGGGGUUGAUUGUCCCAGUUUUCUCUUUUGGUGUCUUGAUUCUGUUUCUUCGUGGUUUGCACAAGAUUCACUUAUGAAAUUGAUUUUCUUGCCAAUUUCAGGGAUAAGCUGGUCAAUGAAGGAAAUUCUAAAAGAAAGCGACUACAAGCAACAUUUGAAGGUACAGCUUGUAUUAUGUUACUUCAGAAAUUAAUAUCAUGGUCUGUUAUUGAGAAUCACGAGUUUCUUGACAAUGAGACUCAUUACAUUUUCUUUUCAUAAAAAAAAAUCCUUGGAAGAGAUUGUAAAGUUUAAUGAGCAUGUCCCUUUUACAUCUCUUUACAGUGUGUUUUCUUUUGGUUUCACAACAUUUUAAGUUUUAUAUUUUUUUACAGGCUGUGUAUAGUGGAGGUAUUGAUGAUGAAAUAUGAAUGUCCCUUGUUCUUGUCUGCUCCUGAUCACAGUAGACUUGUCUGAUGUGCUCUAGAUCCUUUCUGUUUUUUCAUUAAAUGAUUAUGUGACUGAGGAGAGCAUGUUCUUAAUUAGGUUGCCAUUGUGAAACUUGUUUUCGGUUUUUUUAUUGUAUAAUACAGAGCUUCCAAAUGGUUUAAUCCUAGAUAUAAGUUACCAAUUUUCGGUGUGUAGUGAGCUGGAAGCCGGGGUCAUCCUUCUCACCACCAGUCGAACAUACUACUUCAGCCACCAUGUUGAGAGAUAUAAAAGUGUUCUGUAUUUCAGAGAGCAACAACACGAGAUUGUGCCCCCUCUUGCUCCAGGUGCAUGUUGCUGUAAUUAGUAUCAACAGAUUAAAUCAUGGGCCAUGUCUCUGUUUCAUACCACCUCUGUUCAUAAAUAGAUAGCUUCCUAGAGAUUGUGCAGUCCUAAGGCCAUCCACACUAUUGCCCGUUAAAGCGUAUUGAGUGCAUCAAGCCUAAUUUUCUAUUGGACAGAUUUUGUUCUGUAAUCUAUUAGUGUUAGAACAAUACAAAUUUUCCUAUUUUGCAGAAACUAACUUAGUGCUUCCUUCUUUCGGGUUUGAAAUUCAGCAAUUCUUUUCCUUAAUCGCAAACUGAAUUGUUCGUCGUUGCUAUUUGGUUUCCCUUCUGUCUGGCAUAUUGAUGAUUUGAUCCGCAUUCAAGAAAGAAAUAUUCCAUGCAAGCCUCCAGCCUAAGUAAAGAAAUUUAUUUGCUUGCCAUUUGA